CGGAGAGUCUUGGGACGCUGUGUGACGAAAGCCCAGUAGUUGCAGAUAGCGGCUUAGGCAAUUCGGCUGUUCUUUUAGGGUCGCAAAGAGUCUGGAUCCAAUUAUCUUCAAGCCCUUUGAAAGACGUGGCACCAACACGUUCAACACAUUCUCCUGAAGACGGGCAGAAAGAUCUGCAUGAAGGCAAGACUGUAGCUAUAAAAACAAAAACCAAAGGAAUAUAAGCAUAUGAAGAGCAAUCAAGAAAGCCAAACAUAUAAAUGAAAUGAAGCAAACCUGGUUAGACAGACGCUCAGACU
Molecule: long non-coding RNA, 299 nt
Filed under: Setaria viridis
Lineage: Eukaryota; Viridiplantae; Streptophyta; Magnoliopsida; Poales; Poaceae
Description: long non-coding RNA (SVIR_LNC002662)
Source: RNAcentral